RNAcentral lists this ribosomal RNA (271 nucleotides) under uncultured Bacteriovorax sp. RNAcentral's name for it is "partial 16S ribosomal RNA". It matches the Rfam family "Bacterial small subunit ribosomal RNA", at positions 595 to 864 of the family's 1533-position model. Lineage: Bacteria; Pseudomonadati; Bdellovibrionota; Bacteriovoracia; Bacteriovoracales; Bacteriovoracaceae. The record is from RNAcentral.
UGAAAUCUCGGGGCUCAACCCCGAAACUGCGUCUGAAACUGCAGGUCUAGAAUCUUGGAGGGGGAAGGGGAAUUUCGCAUGUAGGGGUAAAAUCCGUAGAUAUGCGAAGGAACACCAGGGGCGAAGGCGCCUUCCUGGACAAGUAUUGACGCUGAGGCGCGAAAGCGUGGGGAUCAAACAGGAUUAGAUACCCUGGUAGUCCACGCUGUAAACGAUGAAUACUAGAUAUUGCAGGAUUUGACCCCAGCAGUGUCGCAGCUAACGCGUUAAG